AGUGAACGCUGGCGGUAUGCCUAACACAUGCAAGUCGAACGGCAGCACAGUAAGAGCUUGCUCUUACGGGUGGCGAGUGGCGGACGGGUGAGGAAUACAUCGGAAUCUACUUUUUCGUGGGGGAUAACGUAGGGAAACUUACGCUAAUACCGCAUACGUCCUACGGGUGAAAGCAGGGGAUCUUCGGACCUUGCGCGAUUGAAUGAGCCGAUGUCGGAUUAGCUAGUUGGCGGGGUAAAGGCCCACCAAGGCGACGAUCCGUAGCUGGUCUGAGAGGAUGAUCAGCCACACUGGAACUGAGACACGGUCCAGACUCCUACGGGAGGCAGCAGUGGGGAAUAUUGGACAAUGGGCGCAAGCCUGAUCCAGCCAUACCGCGUGGGUGAAGAAGGCCUUCGGGUUGUAAAGCCCUUUUGUUGGGAAAGAAAAGCAGCAGGUUAAUACCCCGCUGUUCUGACGGUACCCAAAGAAUAAGCACCGGCUAACUUCGUG
Molecule: ribosomal RNA, 492 nt
Filed under: uncultured bacterium
Lineage: Bacteria
Description: partial 16S ribosomal RNA
Rfam family: Bacterial small subunit ribosomal RNA
Source: RNAcentral